AUACGGGAGGCAGCAGUGGGGAAUAUUGGACAAUGGGCGGAAGCCUGAUCCAGCAAUGCCGCGUGUGUGAAGAAGGCCUGAGGGUUGUAAAGCACUUUCAAUGGGAAGGAAAAACAUCCAGCUAAUACCUGGAUAAUUGACAUUACCUAUAGAAGAAGCACCGGCUAACUCCGUGCCAGCAGCCGCGGUAAUACGGAGGGUGCAAGCGUUAAUCGGAAUUACUGGGCGUAAAGCGUGCGUAGGCGGUUACUUAAGUCAGAUGUGAAAGCCCCGGGCUUAACCUGGGAACGGCAUUUGAUACUGGGUAACUAGAGUGUGGUAGAGGAGAGCGGAAUUUCCGGUGUAGCGGUGAAAUGCGUAGAUAUCGGAAGGAACACCAGUGGCGAAGGCGGCUCUCUGGACCAACACUGACGCUGAGGUACGAAAGCGUGGGUAGCAAACAGGAUUAGAUACCCCAGUAGUCC
RNAcentral lists this ribosomal RNA (464 nucleotides) under uncultured bacterium. RNAcentral's name for it is "bacterial SSU rRNA". It matches the Rfam family "Bacterial small subunit ribosomal RNA", at positions 339 to 796 of the family's 1533-position model. The record is from RNAcentral.